This 279-nucleotide ribosomal RNA is filed under the name uncultured bacterium. RNAcentral's name for it is "partial 16S ribosomal RNA". It matches the Rfam family "Bacterial small subunit ribosomal RNA", at positions 506 to 784 of the family's 1533-position model. The record is from RNAcentral.
UGCCAGCCGCCGCGGUAAUACGAAGGGUGCUAGCGUUGUUCGGAAUUACUGGGCGUAAAGAGCAUGUAGGCGGAUGAAUUAGUCAGAGGUGAAAGCCCCGAGCUCAACUUGGGAACUGCCUUUGAUACUGUUUAUCUAGAGUCCGAGAGAGGUUAGUGGAAUUCCCAGUGUAGAGGUGAAAUGCGUAGAUACUGGGAGGAACACCAGUGGCGAAGGCGGUCACCUGGACGGGUACUGACGCUCAUGUGCGAAAGCGUGGGGAGCAAACAGGAUUGGAUA